UUCCCAUGGCCUUUACUCCUUU
Molecule: microRNA, 22 nt
Filed under: Anolis carolinensis (green anole)
Lineage: Eukaryota; Metazoa; Chordata; Lepidosauria; Squamata; Anolidae
Description: aca-miR-5467
Source: miRBase by way of RNAcentral